RNAcentral lists this transfer RNA (97 nucleotides) under Roseomonas sp. CECT 9278. RNAcentral describes it as "tRNA-Ser". The record is from RNAcentral. Lineage: Bacteria; Pseudomonadati; Pseudomonadota; Alphaproteobacteria; Acetobacterales; Roseomonadaceae.
GGUCGAUGUGGCGCGCCUGGCGGGCGUGGCCGGGCUGACGCUGGCCGGCUUCCUGACCGCGGGGGGCGAGGCGCCGAUCCUGCUCGCCGACCCGCCC